AAUAGAUACCCUGGUAGUCCAUGCCGUAAACGUUGGGAACUAGAUGUAGGGCCUGUUCCACGGGUUCUGUGUCGUAGCNUAACGCAUUAAGUUCCCCGCCUGGGGAGUACGGCCGCAAGGCUAAAACUCAAAGGAAUUGACGGGGGCCCGCACAAGCGGCGGAGCAUGCGGAUUAAUUCGAUGCAACGCGAAGAACCUUACCAAGGCUUGACAUAUAGAAGAACACUGCAGAGAUGCAGGACUCUUUGGACACUUCUAUACAGGUGGUGCAUGGUUGUCGUCAGCUCGUGUCGUGAGAUGUUCGGUUAAGUCCGGCAACGAGCGCAACCCUGUCCUAUGUUGCCAGCACGUGAUGGUGGGAACUCAUGGGAUACUGCCGUGGUCAACACGGAGGAAGGUGGGGAUGACGUCAAAUCAUCAUGCCCCUUAUGUCUUGGGCUUCACGCAUGCUACAAUGGCCGGUACAAAGGGCUGCGAUACCGUAAGGUGGAGCGAAUCCCAAAAAGCCGGUCUCAGGUUCG
Molecule: ribosomal RNA, 521 nt
Filed under: uncultured bacterium
Lineage: Bacteria
Description: bacterial SSU rRNA
Rfam family: Bacterial small subunit ribosomal RNA
Source: RNAcentral